This 375-nucleotide ribosomal RNA is filed under the name Triticum aestivum (bread wheat). RNAcentral's name for it is "partial small subunit ribosomal RNA". Lineage: Eukaryota; Viridiplantae; Streptophyta; Magnoliopsida; Poales; Poaceae. The record is from RNAcentral.
AUGGCCAUCACUUCUCUGCAGCUGCCCUCUCAGAUCCACGGCCUUACUCCUGCUAGAAAUGGGCGCACCCGCACAAGGUCACGGGCUACUCUGCUUAGCUGCAAACACAACCAGUCAACCAUUGUCCAAGUAGCCAGCAGGACAUCCCGCAGAGAUACCCUGGCAUACAUUUCGUCUGCCUUCUUUGCAAUGUUCCUGGUGGCUGAACAUGCUGAAGCUAGAACCUCCAGACAAGAGAACAAGAGGAAAGUAAUGGAGAAGUUGGAGAAGGUCCGGGAGGAGGCCCUGGGCUCAAAGGAGAAGAAAGAGGACACGAGCAAGGAGUCUGUGGCGAACUUGUUGAUCCCUCCUACUUCGGUCGAUGCUUACAUCUGA